RNAcentral lists this ribosomal RNA (396 nucleotides) under uncultured bacterium. RNAcentral describes it as "partial 16S ribosomal RNA". It matches the Rfam family "Bacterial small subunit ribosomal RNA", at positions 523 to 918 of the family's 1533-position model. The record is from RNAcentral.
AUACGGAGGGUGCAAGCGUUAAUCGGAAUUACUGGGCGUAAAGCGCACGCAGGCGGUUUGUUAAGUCAGAUGUGAAAUCCCCGGGCUCAACCUGGGAACUGCAUCUGAUACUGGCAAGCUUGAGUCUCGUAGAGGGGGGUAGAAUUCCAGGUGUAGCGGUGAAAUGCGUAGAGAUCUGGAGGAAUACCGGUGGCGAAGGCGGCCCCCUGGACGAAGCCUGACGCUCAGGUGCGAAAGCGUGGGGAGCAAACAGGAUUAGAUCCCCUGGUAGUCCACGCCGUAAACGAUGUCGACUUGGAGGUUGUGCCCUUGAGGCGUGGCUUCCGGAGCUAACGCGUUAAGUCGACCGCCUGGGGAGUACGGCCGCAAGGUUAAAACUCAAAUGAAUUGGCGGGG